GACGUAGGGCGCGAGCGUUGUCCGGAUUUAUUGGGCGUAAAGGGCUCGUAGGCGGUUCGUCACGUCGGGAGUGAAAACUCGGAGCUUAACUCCGAGCCUGCUUCCGAUACGGGCAGACUAGAGGUAGGCAGGGGAGAGCGGAACUCCUGGUGUAGCGGUGAAGUGCGUAGAUAUCUGGAGGAACACCGGUGGCGAAGGCGGCAUCCUGGACCAACACUGACACUGAUGAGCGAAAGCCAGGGGAGCAAACGGG
Molecule: ribosomal RNA, 253 nt
Filed under: uncultured bacterium
Lineage: Bacteria
Description: partial 16S ribosomal RNA
Rfam family: Bacterial small subunit ribosomal RNA
Source: RNAcentral